Molecule: ribosomal RNA, 253 nt
Filed under: uncultured bacterium
Lineage: Bacteria
Description: partial 16S ribosomal RNA
Rfam family: Bacterial small subunit ribosomal RNA
Source: RNAcentral
UACGGGGGGGGCAAGCGUUGUUCGGAAUUACUGGGCGUAAAGGGCUCGUAGGCGGCCAACUAAGUCGGAUGUGAAAUCCCCAGGCUUAACCUGGGAACUGCAUCCGAUACUGGAUGGCUUGAAUCCGGGAGAGGGAUGCAGAAUUCCAGGUGUAGCGGUGAAAUGCGUAGAUAUCUGGAGGAAUACCGGUGGCGAAGGCGGCGUUCUGGACUGUUUCUGACACUGAGGAACGAAAGCCAGGGGAGCAAACGGG